GGAAUCUUGCGCAAUGGGCGAAAGCCUGACGCAGCAACGCCGCGUGCGGGAAGAAGGCUUUCGGGCUGUAAACCGCUUUCAGUAGGAACGAAACUGACGGUACCUACAGAAGAAGGAGCGGCCAACUAUGUGCCAGCAGCCGCGGUGACACAUAGGCUCCAAGCGUUGUCCGGAUUUAUUGGGCGUAAAGAGCUCGUAGGCGGUUGAGUAAGUCGGGUGUGAAAACUUUGGGCUUAACCCAAAGAUGCCACUCGAUACUGCUUUGACUUGAGUUCGGUAGGGGAGUGGGGAAUUCCUUGUGUAGCGGUGAAAUGCGCAGAUAUAAGGAGGAACACCGGUGGCGAAGGCGCCACUCUGGGCCGAUACUGACGCUGAGGAGCGAAAGCGUGGGGAGCAAGCAGGAUUAGAUACCCUGGUAGUCCACGCGGUAAACGGUGGUCACUAGGUGUGGGUCUCUUCAAACGAGAUCUGCGCCGUCGCUAACGCAUUAAGUGACCCGCCUGGGGAGUACGGUCGCAAGACUAAAACUCAAAUGAAUUGACGG
Molecule: ribosomal RNA, 544 nt
Filed under: uncultured bacterium
Lineage: Bacteria
Description: bacterial SSU rRNA
Rfam family: Bacterial small subunit ribosomal RNA
Source: RNAcentral